AUGCACGCUGGCGGCGUGCCUAAUCCAUGCAAGUCGCACGAAACUUCUUUAUCACCGAGUGCUUGCACUCACCGAUAAAGAGUUGAGUGGCGAACGGGUGAGUAACACGUGGGCAACCUGCCCAAAAGAGGGGGAUAACACUUGGAAACAGGUGCUAAUACCGCAUAACCAUAGUUACCGCAUGGUAACUAUGUAAAAGGUGGCUGUACUACCGCUUUUGGAUGGGCCCGCGGCGCAUUAGCUAGUUGGUAGGGUAAAGGCUUACCAAGGCAAUGAUGCGUAGCCGAAUUGAGAGGUUGAUCGGCCACAUUGGGACUGAGACACGGCCCAAACUCCUACGGGAGGCAGCAGUAGGGAAUCUUCCACAAUGGGCGAAAGCCUGAUGGAGCAACGCCGCGUGGGUGAAGAAGGUCUUCGGAUCGUAAAACCCUGUUGUUAGAGAAGAAAGUGCGUGAGAGUAACUGUUCACGUUUCGACGGUAUCUAACCAGAAAGCCACGGCUAACUACGUG
This 511-nucleotide ribosomal RNA is filed under the name uncultured bacterium. Its description in RNAcentral is "partial 16S ribosomal RNA". It matches the Rfam family "Bacterial small subunit ribosomal RNA", at positions 29 to 507 of the family's 1533-position model. The record is from RNAcentral.